Molecule: ribosomal RNA, 730 nt
Filed under: uncultured bacterium
Lineage: Bacteria
Description: bacterial SSU rRNA
Rfam family: Bacterial small subunit ribosomal RNA
Source: RNAcentral
CAGUCGUACGCUUCUUUUUCCCCGGAGCUUGCUCCACCGGAAAAAGAAGAGUGGCGAACGGGUGAGUAACACGUGGGUAACCUGCCCAUCAGAAGGGGAUAACACUUGGAAACAGGUGCUAAUACCGUAUAACAAUCGAAACCGCAUGGUUUUGAUUUGAAAGGCGCUUUCGGGUGUCGCUGAUGGAUGGACCCGCGGUGCAUUAGCUAGUUGGUGAGGUAACGGCUCACCAAGGCCACGAUGCAUAGCCGACCUGAGAGGGUGAUCGGCCACAUUGGGACUGAGACACGGCCCAAACUCCUACGGGAGGCAGCAGUAGGGAAUCUUCGGCAAUGGACGAAAGUCUGACCGAGCAACGCCGCGUGAGUGAAGAAGGUUUUCGGAUCGUAAAACUCUGUUGUUAGAGAAGAACAAGGAUGAGAGUAACUGUUCAUCCCUUGACGGUAUCUAACCAGAAAGCCACGGCUAACUACGUGCCAGCAGCCGCGGUAAUACGUAGGUGGCAAGCGUUGUCCGGAUUUAUUGGGCGUAAAGCGAGCGCAGGCGGUUUCUUAAGUCUGAUGUGAAAGCCCCCGGCUCAACCGGGGAGGGUCAUUGGAAACUGGGAGACUUGAGUGCAGAAGAGGAGAGUGGAAUUCCAUGUGUAGCGGUGAAAUGCGUAGAUAUAUGGAGGAACACCAGUGGCGAAGGCGGCUCUCUGGUCUGUAACUGACGCUGAGGCUCGAAAGCG